AAGUAUAAGCAUUUAUACAGCGAAACUGCGAAUGGCUCAUUAUAUAAGCUAUAGUCUAUUCGAUAAUACCCUACUACAUGGAUAACCGUGGUAAUUCUAGAGCUAAUACAUGCGUCAAAGGGCGACUUCGGAAGCCCUGUAUAUAUUAGAUACAAAGCCAACUCGUUGGUGAUUCAUAAUAUCUUGUCGAAUCGCACGGCCUUGCGCUGGCGAUGGUUCGUUCGAAUUUCUUCCCUAUCAACUUUCGAUGCGAGGGUAGUGUCCUCGCAUGGUGGCAACGGGUAACGGAGGGUUAGGGCUCGACCCCGGAGAAGGAGCCUGAGAAACGGCUACUACAUCCAAGGAAGGCAGCAGGCGCGCAAAUUAUCCAAUACCGAUUCGGUGAGAUAGUGACAAUAAAUACUGAUACGGGGCUCUUUUGGGUCCUGUAAUCGGAAUGAGUACAAUUUAAAUCUCUUAACGAGGAACAAGAAGAGGGCAAGUCUGGUGCCAGCAGCCGCGGUAAUUCCAGCUCUUCUAGCGUAUACUAAAGUUGUUGCGGUUAAAAAGCUCGUAGUUGAAGGUUGGGCGCGUGCGGCUGGUCCUCCGCGGGUACGGAAGCGCGCGCCUUUUGUCUGUGGAGCGGCAUGUCCUUCAUUGGGCGUGUCNNGGACACAGGACGGUUACUUUGAAGAAAUUGGAGUGCUCAAAGCANNCGCAUGCUCGAACAGUUCAGCAUGGAAUAACGAAAUAGGNNNNNCUGAUUCUAUUCNGUUGGUUUCUAGAAUCUGCGUAAUGAUUAAUAGGGACAGUCGGGGGCAUCAGUAUUGUGUGGUCAGAGGUGAAAUUCUUGGACCCACGCAAGACUAACUAGUGCGAAAGNAUUUGCCAAGGAUGUUUUCAUUGAUAAGNGAGCGAAAGUUAGGGNAUCGAAAACGAUCAGAUACCGUUGUAGUCUUAACCAUAAACGAUGCCGACUAGGGAUCG
RNAcentral lists this ribosomal RNA (966 nucleotides) under Sphaeronaemella fimicola. RNAcentral describes it as "SSU rRNA". It matches the Rfam family "Eukaryotic small subunit ribosomal RNA", at positions 61 to 1055 of the family's 1831-position model. The record is from RNAcentral. Lineage: Eukaryota; Fungi; Ascomycota; Sordariomycetes; Microascales.